Molecule: ribosomal RNA, 486 nt
Filed under: uncultured bacterium
Lineage: Bacteria
Description: partial 16S ribosomal RNA
Rfam family: Bacterial small subunit ribosomal RNA
Source: RNAcentral
AUUGAACGCUGGCGGCAUGCCUUACACAUGCAAGUCGAACGGCAGCACGGGUGCUUGCACCUGGUGGCGAGUGGCGAACGGGUGAGUAAUACAUCGGAACAUGUCCUGUAGUGGGGGAUAGCCCGGCGAAAGCCGGAUUAAUACCGCAUACGAUCUACGGAUGAAAGCGGGGGACCUUCGGGCCUCGCGCUUUAGGGUUGGCCGAUGGCUGAUUAGCUAGUUGGUGGGGUAAAGGCCUACCAAGGCGACGAUCAGUAGCUGGUCUGAGAGGACGACCAGCCACACUGGGACUGAGACACGGCCCAGACUCCUACGGGAGGCAGCAGUGGGGAAUUUUGGACAAUGGGCGAAAGCCUGAUCCAGCAAUGCCGCGUGUGUGAAGAAGGCCUUCGGGUUGUAAAACACUUUUGUCCGGAAAGAAAUCCUUGGCCCUAAUACGGUCGGGGGAUGACGGUACCGGAAGAAUAAGCACCGGCUAACUACGUG